UGGGCUGCUAAACUUGAUUUCUUAUUUGCCAUCCAAAUUUCCACCAUCAAGUACAUGGAAAAAUCUUAACUAAAAACAAAUCAAAAUAAAAGGUAUAUAAACAUCACUGUAGACCGAGCAAAUUCUACUUCCAACCAUCAGACCACUCAGCUUCAUCUGUAACAGGUUUUGGAAUUUCUGAUUGAAAGGACUCUUGACCCCAUCCAACCUCUUCAGAGGGCAGAGGGUUUUCUUCACUGUUGUCAUAGCUCACACAAUCCUCCUGUAUUUGACACUCAUCAACGAGAUCCUGUCUUUCUGGGAGACCACAACCCUGAUAGGAGUCAUGGUCUGCACAAUACCAUAAAAGCUUAUUCCAGUAUGGGUCCUUACUGAUAAUGUGUGGAUUGCCAAUAAUGAUAAGUAACGCUAUAGCUCGGGUAAUAGCCACAUUAAACCUUCUUGGAUUGCUAAGAAAACCCAAACAAUGGAGUCUGUCAAACUCAUUGUGUCUGACUGUUGAUCUAACAGUUGAUACAAUGAUAACUUUCCUUUCUUGUCCUUGAAAUUGUUCCACUGUGCCAACUUGGAUGUUUGGCAUAUCCAAAUCGUCCAAGGCCUUCUUUAGUUUGAGUACUUGCUGCCUGUAAGGUGUAAUAACCCCAAUAUCAGCCUCAUUCAGAUUUCCCAUAGCAGUUAGUUUGUUUAUGAGCUCUACCACCUUGCUUGCUUCAAUUCGGUUAAACCAUGAUGGAUUAUUGCCUUCCCUCUCAUCACAGCCUUGUAUACCAAAGAAGAGAACAGGAAAGUUCCUGCCUGGAAGAAGAUUUACCAAAGACAAUAAGGAAGUUGUAUCGUCUGUAGACUCUUUGCUUGCAAUUAAUUCCCCUCCAUAGAACAUAUCUGAUGGGAGAUUUAAAAUGUUUGGGUGACAUCGGUAGUUCCUAACCAGUUUUGUUACAUAAUUUUCAUCCCCAUUGCAGUAAGAUUCACAUUCAAAGAGCCUCUCCAAGUAUGAUUUUCCCAGGCCAUAAGCCUCAGCAUCUCUCGAGUAUAUUACAGGACCCAACUGCAUGGGGUCUCCAGCAAGAACAACAACUGUGUCCCUAUGGCAGAGGGUGGAUAUAGGGAUCAUGGUUUCUGGCUCAGAAGCUUGGCCAGCCUCAUCAAGGAAAAUAUGAGAGAAGUGACCUCGCUCAAUACCCUCUGUAUAAAGAAGACAGGCGCUCAUAUAUGUUGAUAUGAUGAUCCUAUAGCGAGUGAGAGCACUGAGUGGGGGACACUUGAAGAGACGAUCAUCGAAAAAACAAAAGCGAAUAUGAUCAGGCUUGACAUCUUCAAAUGAACGGGAAGUUGCAUUGAGCCUGAAUAUUUCAUUGUCUCGAAUAUUAACAGCAUUCUUACAAAGAAGCUUCUCCAGCAAGUGAUCUGCUGCACUAUUUGAUGGUGCACACACAAGAAUCCGGGCAUCCUUUCGGUUUUUAUAGAGCUGAAGGAUUGCUUCCACUAUUGUAAUAGUUUUACCUGUACCAGGAGGUCCAUAAAUGACAUAAGGUGGAGCUCCUUUACAGCCAAGGAUCAACUCUAUAGAACACAAUUGCUCUUCAUUAAGACUACAAGUUAUGGGCACCAGAGUAGUAGUUUCAAUAAGCCUAUUUCCAGAGCUCUCAGAUGGAAAGAGGAGCUCUGUCUCUAAAUUUUCAGCAGCAUCUACAGCCUGAUACUGUCUUCUCAUGUUGAGUCGAUUAUAUGUGAAGUGUACAUCAUACAGAUUCCCAUUUAAAUGGUGACUGUGAAAUGCAGCGGCAAACUUCAAAUAAACUUCAUCAGCCUCAACACGAUGAAUAAAGCCCUGAUACGGAGAGGUUGUUUCAUCAGCAUUAGCAAUCUUGGCAAAGAUGUAAUCUCCAUGGACAAGUGAAGGUCUCCGCUCAGCAAGCCCCGGGACCAUAAGGGACAAGAAGUUCCCCUUCUUCCUCAUCCCAACACCCUCCAUGUCAUAACUUCUCAUGUCUUCCUCCAUUUGUAUUUCUUCCAUCAUCAACAACAUUUUAAAGUAAUAAGCAUAAUUCUGUCUGGUUAGACUUCCAAUAAUAAGAUCAAUGUUCUGCUUGCUCUCAAUCAUUUCUCUAGUCUCCUUAGGAAUAUCAUAACGAGGAAGCCUUUUCUUUAUUGCCUUGCCCAUUGGCCUGAGAGGUCGUGAACCACCAACAAAAUUGUCCACAGUGAAUUGUUUCUUUCUUGUAGCUCUUGAAUAUGGCUUUCUCGAAGCCAAAGACCUGGAUAUGUUAUCUUCAGCCAAUAGAAAAACCACUCGCUCAAUCAUAUCAGUUCCCACAUCAAAAUGCACAAUUGAAGUGUACAAGCCAAUUUCCUUGGGUUUGCAAUUUAGCCAAACGGUUAAAGUAUCACCAGGUUGAAGCAUUCUG
RNAcentral lists this unclassified non-coding RNA (2408 nucleotides) under Hevea brasiliensis (rubber tree). The record is from RNAcentral. Lineage: Eukaryota; Viridiplantae; Streptophyta; Magnoliopsida; Malpighiales; Euphorbiaceae.